Molecule: long non-coding RNA, 150 nt
Organism: Capsicum annuum
Lineage: Eukaryota; Viridiplantae; Streptophyta; Magnoliopsida; Solanales; Solanaceae
Exons: 3
Source: RefSeq, a predicted model, not a curated record
CUCUAAAAUCCCUUUGUAAGCGGAAGCAAGCUUUUAAUGAGUAUCUGAGCCAAAAAAAAAAAACUGGAAGCUGAAGAGAGGCGUGUUAAACAGAAAAAAGCUCGGGAAGAUUUCAGGAUAAUGUUAGAAGAUUGCAAGGAGAUGUCACCA